GUCGGCAGCAGCGUCGAUAUGUGUAUGAGACACAAUGCCGAACUCAGAAGUGAAACGCCGUAGCGCCGAUGGUAGUGUGGGGUCUCCCCAUGCGAGAGUAGGGAACUGCCAGACA
Molecule: ribosomal RNA, 115 nt
Filed under: Escherichia coli
Lineage: Bacteria; Pseudomonadati; Pseudomonadota; Gammaproteobacteria; Enterobacterales; Enterobacteriaceae
Source: RNAcentral